CAUUUUCGGUUCCAUCCAGGAUGUGGUGAUAGAGUCCGAUGCCAGCUUGCACAGCUGGGGUGCCUGUUGUGCCGACGUUUCCACAGGAGGCAGAUGGUCCGACAUGGAGAAGUCGUUACACAUCAACUGCUUGGAACUCCUGGCAGGGGCCUUCGCGAUCCGCAGCCUUACCCCAGGACGGGCGAAUUGCUGCGUUCUUCUCAAGAUGGACAACGUGUCGGCAGUCCGUUACAUAAAUCACCUAGGGGGUACAAAAUCCAAGAUGCUGGCGAAUCUAGCAAAAGAUUUCUGGCAGUUCUGCCUCUACAACAACGUCUCGGUGACGGCGGAGCACAUCCCGGGUCUGGACAAUUCGGGAGCGGAUUGGAAUUCCAGACACUUAAGAGACUCUGGGGAUUGGUGUUUGCACGCUUUGGUGUUCCGGAGCCUAGACAAGUUGUGGGGAAAAUUCCGGAUGGAUCUGUUGGCAUCGCGCCUGAACACUCAACUACCGAAAUUCUACAGUUGGAGGCGGGACCCGGCAGUGGUGGCGACGGAUGCCUUUCUCCAGGAAUGGCC
This is a non-coding RNA of Pelobates cultripes (western spadefoot toad), 558 nucleotides long. NCBI's taxonomy places the organism in Eukaryota, Metazoa, Chordata, Amphibia, Anura, Pelobatidae. The record is from the annotation of a GenBank genome assembly.